GAUGAAGAACGCAGCGGAAUGCGAUACGUAAUGUGAAUUGCAGAAUUCAGUGAAUCAUCGAGUCUUUGAACGCACAUUGCGCCCCCUGGUAUUCCGGGGGGCAUGCCUGUCCGAGCGUCAUUGCUGCCCUCAAGCACGGCUUGUGUGUUGGGCCUCCGUCCUCCUCCCGGGGGACGGGCCCGAAAGGCAGCGGCGGCACCGCGUCCGGUCCUCGAGCGUAUGGGGCUUCGUCACCCGCUCUUGUAGGCCCGGCCGGCGCUUGCCGACACAUCAAUCUUUUUUCCAGGUUGACCUCGGAUCAGGUAGGGAUACCCGCUGAACUUAAGCAUAUCAAUAAGCGGAGGA
RNAcentral lists this unclassified non-coding RNA (345 nucleotides) under soil metagenome. Its description in RNAcentral is "partial contains 5.8S ribosomal RNA, internal transcribed spacer 2, and large subunit ribosomal RNA". The stretch from base 1 to 120 matches the Rfam family "5.8S ribosomal RNA", at positions 35 to 154 of the family's 154-position model. The record is from RNAcentral.